RNAcentral lists this ribosomal RNA (970 nucleotides) under uncultured bacterium. RNAcentral describes it as "bacterial SSU rRNA". It matches the Rfam family "Bacterial small subunit ribosomal RNA", at positions 28 to 1011 of the family's 1533-position model. The record is from RNAcentral.
GACGAACGCUGGCGGCGUGCUUUAUACAUGCAAGUCGAACGAUGAAGUUCCUUCGGGAAUGGAUUAGUGGCGAACGGGUGAGGAACACGUGAGAAACCUGCCUUUCAUUCUGGGAUAACACCGGGAAACCGGUGCUAAUACCGGAUACUCCAUCUUGGCGGCAUCGCCGAGCUGGGAAAAAAUUUUGAUGAAAGAUGGUCUCGCGGCCUAUCAGCUAGUUGGUGAGGUAAAGGCUCACCAAGGCGACGACGGGUAGCCGGCCUGAGAGGGCGACCGGCCACACUGGGACUGAGACACGGCCCAGACUCCUACGGGAGGCAGCAGUAGGGAAUAUUGGGCAAUGGGCGAAAGCCUGACCCAGCGACGCCGCGUGAGGGAUGAAGGUCUUCGGAUUGUAAACCUCUUUCAGUAGGGAAGAAGCGAAAGUGACGGUACCUAAAGAAGAAGCACCGGCUAACUAUGUGCCAGCAGCCGCGGUAAUACAUAGGGUGCAAGCGUUGUCCGGAAUUAUUGGGCGUAAAGAGCUCGUAGGUCGUUUGUCGCGUCGAUUGUGAAAAUCUGAGGCUCAACCUCAGACCUGCAGUCGAUACGGGCAAACUAGAGUGUGGUAGGGGAGACUGGAAUUCCUGGUGUAGCGGUGGAAUGCGCAGAUAUCAGGAGGAACACCAAUGGCGAAGGCAGGUCUCUGGGCCAUAACUGACACUGAGGAGCGAAAGUGCGGGGAGCGAACAGGAUUAGAUACCCUGGUAGUCCGCACCGUAAACGGUGGGCACUAGUUGUGGGAACCUUCCACGGUCUCCGCGACGCAGCAAACGCAUUAAGUGCCCCGCCUGGGGAGUACGAUCGCAAGAUUAAAACUCAAAGGAAUUGACGGGGCCCCGCACAAGCAGCGGAGCAUGCGGCUUAAUUCGACGCAACGCGAAGAACCUUACCAAGGCUUGACAUAUAGUGAAAAGUGGCAGAGAUGUCA